This 307-nucleotide unclassified non-coding RNA is filed under the name uncultured fungus. RNAcentral describes it as "sequence contains ITS2". Lineage: Eukaryota; Fungi. The record is from RNAcentral.
AACGCACCUUGCGCCACGUGGUAUUCCACGGGGCACGCCUGUUUGAGUGUCACGUUAACCAUCGCGUCGCGGAUUGAACCUUUGGCUCUCUCGGGAGCUGAUCAGUAUGUCUGCGGGGCGGAUUUGGAGGCUUGCCGUGUGAACGGCUCCUCUCGAAAUGCAUUAGCUGUCUGAAGACCGCGCCGCUGGUGUGAUAAUUUAUUUUGCGCCUAAUGGAACGGUGUUGAAGGUGGCUCAUAAACCGCCCGCAAGGGCAAUAAUUUUAAGCUUUGACCUCAAAUCAGGUGGGACUACCCGCUGAACUUAA